This 344-nucleotide ribosomal RNA is filed under the name uncultured bacterium. RNAcentral's name for it is "bacterial SSU rRNA". It matches the Rfam family "Bacterial small subunit ribosomal RNA", at positions 1 to 334 of the family's 1533-position model. The record is from RNAcentral.
CUGUACAGUUCAGAGUUUGAUCCUGGCUCAGGAUGAACGCUGGCGGCGUGCUUAACACAUGCAAGUCGAACGGACUUUACAUGAAGCCUAGCGAAUGUAAAGUUAGUGGCGGACGGGUGAGUAACGCGUGGGUAACCUGCCUCGUACAGGGGGAUAACACUUAGAAAUAGGUGCUAAUACCGCAUAAGCGCACAGCUUCGCAUGAAGCAGUGUGAAAAACUCCGGUGGUACGAGAUGGACCCGCGUCUGAUUAGCUAGUUGGUGAGGUAACGGCCCACCAAGGCGACGAUCAGUAGCCGGCCUGAGAGGGUGAACGGCCACAUUGGGACUGAGACACGGCCCAA